Molecule: ribosomal RNA, 497 nt
Filed under: uncultured bacterium
Lineage: Bacteria
Description: partial 16S ribosomal RNA
Rfam family: Bacterial small subunit ribosomal RNA
Source: RNAcentral
GAUGAACGCUGGCGGCGUGCCUAAUACAUGCAAGUCGAGCGAACAGACGAGGAGCUUGCUCCUCUGACGUUAGCGGCGGACGGGUGAGUAACACGUGGAUAACCUACCUAUAAGACUGGGAUAACUUCGGGAAACCGGAGCUAAUACCGGAUAAUAUUUUGAACCGCAUGGUUCAAUAGUGAAAGACGGUUUUGCUGUCACUUAUAGAUGGAUCCGCGCUGCAUUAGCUAGUUGGUAAGGUAACGGCUUACCAAGGCGACGAUGCAUAGCCGACCUGAGAGGGUGAUCGGCCACACUGGAACUGAGACACGGUCCAGACUCCUACGGGAGGCAGCAGUAGGGAAUCUUCCGCAAUGGGCGAAAGCCUGACGGAGCAACGCCGCGUGAGUGAUGAAGGUCUUCGGAUCGUAAAACUCUGUUAUUAGGGAAGAACAAAUGUGUAAGUAACUAUGCACGUCUUGACGGUACCUAAUCAGAAAGCCACGGCUAACUACGUG